AUGGGAAUUUCUUCUUUGAAAAUGUGUAUUUAUGAAAGAAAAAUGAAAAAGUUUAAAAGGUUCACCAAAGACUUAUACAUGAAUGUUUAUCAUAACUUUAAUCAUGAUGGCCCCAAACUGAAAACAACCCAAAUGCUUAUCAACAAAUGAAUGAACAAAUUGUACAUCCAGAUAUUCUGUAUCCUGAUUGAGGAAGUAGUUUCAUGGUUCUGGACAUUUGUUAAAAACCCAUUGAACUAUACAUUUUAAAAACGGGGCAUUUUAUUGUAUGUACAUUGUUUUUCAAUAAAGUUGAUUUUAAAAGUAAAAAGUGUAAUUUUUAUAUCUGUUUUUGACAAGUUGAAAAUUCUAGGGAGUAACUGACAUCUAUCAGUACCUUAAUCUGUAGUUUGGUGUGUAAAGUCUGUUAACCCAAACCAAUGAAGAAAAAAUUUUUGAAAAUAUUCUUUCCAAUAAGCUUAGUUAUACUUAAUAAGCACAUCAACUGAUACAUAUAAAUGAAAUAUCAGUGUAAUUUUUAUGUUAAAAUAUUACUCAUUAAAUCAUAUGCAUGGCAUUCCCUCUAGUGUGUUCUUGCUUUGAUGAUAUGCUUAGCUGCUAAAUUCAGGGAAAGAUAGUCAGUCUCUCCUUAUUGAGAUUAUUAUCUGAAAACUUCAAAGCUUCCUGUUCCUAUUUUUUUCAUUGCAGGCUCAUUAUAUAUUCUAUCCAAAUUUCCCUUCAUAGUGAAUACAACAGUUUUUACUUGGAUAAUAUUAAUGCUUCAGAUUUGGAAGACAAGGAACAAACUAAUCAUAUUUAUUUUCUUCUUUUCUAAACUCUAUGAGAAAUUGUCAGUUACGAAAAGCAAAAUUUAAAAUGUAUUUACUAGUUAUAUUUAACAGAGCACAAAAGUUAGAAAUUGACCACCUAGAAAAGAACAAAUGACUCAUUUAGAGAAGCGUUGACAAGAAACUCUGUAUGAGAAAGACAAAUCAUGAGAAGACACAGUUUUUCUUUUUAAUGUGACUUUUAAAGGUUAACUGCACUUAGUUCAUCUUGGUAAAAAUUCAAGACUCUAUUAGCCAUAAAUACAACCAACUUAAAAAAAUAAAAUCCAUUCUCCUUUUCCGGUCUCUAUAAUCAUUUCUUCUUAAUAAUGAGUUUUAAAACUUAAAACACCUGUUGUAUACAUUAAUGCUUUAUCUUAAUUGUUUUUUUUUAAAAAAACAACUCAUUUUGGAUUUAAAUCUAGCUUUCUCCAAAGAAUAUGAAAUUACCAUGAAGCAUUUUGUUUGUUCUGAAAGGGCAAUGAAGUUUUAAUAUGUGGAUUAUAUUUAUGAAUUAAGAAGAAGCAGCAGCAGCAAGCCCUGAAUCAUUCUAGAACUCAGCAGGUUGGCAGGAACUGACAGAAGAUUUGAGACAUUAUCUGUAAUAUAUAGAGCAGAUUAAGCAGUU
RNAcentral lists this long non-coding RNA (1434 nucleotides) under Papio anubis (olive baboon). RNAcentral's name for it is "lncRNA (ENSPANG00000038570.1)". The record is from RNAcentral. Lineage: Eukaryota; Metazoa; Chordata; Mammalia; Primates; Cercopithecidae.